RNAcentral lists this long non-coding RNA (315 nucleotides) under Olea europaea (common olive). RNAcentral's name for it is "long non-coding RNA (OEUR_LNC012414)". Lineage: Eukaryota; Viridiplantae; Streptophyta; Magnoliopsida; Lamiales; Oleaceae. The record is from RNAcentral.
AUUACUCUCUACUUUCACGCAUCAAAAAUUUGGAGAAAUACGUAAGAACAUCUGAAACAGGAUUAUCACAACAUUUUCAAACAGCAAUAAAUAUAGAUACGUCUCACUUGCCAUUUGGUUUAUAACUUUAAAUUAACAUAUUCCACACUAAAACAGAUAAGUAACAAACCAUUUCUGGUAUAUUGCGACUAAAAAUUUGACGCACAAAUUAGCUUUAGUACCCAUAUGAAAUUCUCUUCAUCAUCCUCAUGAACUCGUCAGCAUUAACUUCACCAUCGCCAGAAUAUUUCACAGACAAUAAACUCAUAAAUCAAG